RNAcentral lists this ribosomal RNA (253 nucleotides) under uncultured bacterium. Its description in RNAcentral is "partial 16S ribosomal RNA". It matches the Rfam family "Bacterial small subunit ribosomal RNA", at positions 524 to 776 of the family's 1533-position model. The record is from RNAcentral.
UACGGAGGGUGCCAGCGUUAUCCGGAUUCACUGGGUUUAAAGGGUGCGUAGGUGGGUUGGUAAGUCAGUGGUGAAAUCCUUGAGCUUAACUCGAGAACUGCCAUUGAUACUGAAGAUCUUGAGUUCGGGAGAGGUGAGUGGAACUGCGAGUGUAGAGGUGAAAUUCGUAGAUAUUCGCAAGAACACCAGUGGCGAAGGCGGCUCACUGGCCCGAUACUGACGCUGAGGCACGAAAGCGUGGGGAGCAAACAGG